RNAcentral lists this unclassified non-coding RNA (2875 nucleotides) under Penaeus chinensis. RNAcentral's name for it is "uncharacterized LOC125042255, transcript variant X1". Lineage: Eukaryota; Metazoa; Arthropoda; Malacostraca; Decapoda; Penaeidae. The record is from RNAcentral.
AUGUUACGGUAAGAAUGAAAGAUGAGUCAGUGUCAUAUACAUCAAAAGAUAUGCACGUGUAAGACAAACGGUAGAAUAUUAGCAUUUUGCCCACGAAAUCAUUUCCCAUGACCCUUGGCCCAGGCUAAGAUGAGCAAAAAAAUGGAAGCCAUGGAAGGAGAUAAUUCUGACUAUGAGAAUGAAUUAGGCCCAGUACCUGUGAGUGAACUUCAGAAGCAAUUAGAAGUUGGGAAGCUUAUUGACAGAGCUUUUGAACAUGUCAAGCACAGCCAAGCAGCAGAAGAAGUAGCAGAUAUCGCAGCUGGUGCAGAAGGUCACCACCUUUUUGAUGGAGUUGCUGCAGUUCAGGGCCCUAUAGCUCCGGAGAUUCAGGCAGGCAAUUUUAGGGCAUUGCACUCUUCCAGUGGAGUUGGGUCUGAUGGAACUGGAUCUCGGAGUAUAAACCUUCGCUACUCAGGCACAGCAAGCAACGAUGUUCAAAAUCUUGCAGGAAAUGUUGAAACUGUUGAUGAUUUUUUAAAAGCAGGACCAUCCUUGGAGACAUUGCACAAGCUGAACUUAACACUUCAGAGACGGUUUGAGUACAAAAGAGACCAACUAGACAGGAUAUUACAAACAAACCUUACUAGACAGGCACAACUAAGGGAUGAAAUAUCGCAAGACAGAGCGAACACUGACCAGGAGAAGAAGGGAGAUACAAAGGAAAAAGCACCUUUCCGAGUUUCAAAUUUUUGCGUUCCCUAUUUCAAAAAUCGUAGUGGGAUGAAUGCUCCUAAGAAUGAAGAUGCUAGGUUCAAGCUUGACAAUGGCUGCCUGGACCUUUACACAACACGUGCACGCCAGUGGAAGGCAAGGGAAAAGGAGGCCUUGAAAGAGAGUGUACACAAGGAGUGGAAGCAGCAGCUUAUAGACACAAAGGAAUUGAAGCUGAGGGACCUCCAGAGAAGGUUGAGGAAUGCCGACACCAACAGUGAAGAAACAUCACUGGAAGAGAUGAAGAAGGACCUUGAGAAGCAAAUUAGGGAUUUAAGAGUGACACCUGCAGAAUCUCUAACACCUCCCCCACUUGAAAAAUUGGAUUGGGAGAAAAUAGCAGCUCAGACAUUUGAUGGCCAUCGAACUUCUGAUGAAUGCAGCUUGCAGUGGGAGAACCUGCUUCACCCUGCCAUAAAUACUUCAAAUUGGGAUCCUAAGGAAGAUAUGGCCAUUCAGGAACUGGUGACAUCAAGCAAGCAUGACAUUCCAGAUUGGAGCAAAAUUGCAUCAAAAUUAAAGACAAACCGCACAGGAUAUCUGGUGAUGCAGCGGUGGGUAUCGUUUAUUGCUCCUGCUCUAAACCCUGCCAAGUGGACACCAGAAUCAACUCAGAAAUUGAUUGAUACUGUGAACAUGCUUAGGGUUAGCAACUGCAUUCCAUGGGCACAGGUUCAUCAACAUCUUGUGGGUUUUAGCCGUUAUCAAAUCCAAAGUCGGUGGCGACAAAUCAACCCUGAACAGUCAAAGGGUCCCUUUACAGUGGAGGAGGACUUCAUUCUUAUAAAAGGCUUACACAUGUUUGGCUUGAAUUUUUCAAACAUUGCCCACUUCAUGCCAGGUCGAUCAUAUGCUCAAGUUCGUGAUAGAUACAAGCGAACUAUCCUGCCAAACUUAACCUACAAACCCUGGACAAGAGAAGAAGAUGAAAUUUUGAUUCAGGAAUGCCAAGUUGGGGCUCGCAAUUGGCGUAAGAUGAUCUUGCAGCUGCCAAUGCGGAAUGCCUGUCAGAUCAGAGUGAGAUAUCACAUUCUCCAAGAAUGGCAGACCCUGACAGACAGUAAUUUGCCCCCUCCUCCCUUGUUCCCAGUGUCCACAACCACUGAUGCAGAAAUGAUCAACAAGAUUCGCAUGAAUAUGAUUCGGGACACUAACCAAGUCAAGGAACUAGUGGACCAGAGUAGAGCAAAGACUGAUAUGAAAGAUGCAGUGAUGGUGUUGGAGAACCGCCGCAAGGAGAUAAAAGCCAGGAAGGCUGGUAACUCCAUGCAGAAACUAAAGUGCGUAACAGAGAAACGAGGACGAAGACAAGGAACUCCUAAUCCGCACCAGGUCACCCUUGAAAAUGCUUUUCUCACACAAUUCUUUCUUCCUUGGAGGUGCUAUCCAGGAAGUAUAAGUAUUUCAAGUGAGAUUGUUCAGUCAAAUCUCUGUUUGCUGGGUAGGGUUCAGCAGUUGAAGAUUUCCUCUGUGGUUUCUCCGGAAGAGCGAAAGAUGUUGAGUGCCCUUCAGUUGUCUGAUAUAGACACUAAAGUUGUGGACUCAUUGGUCAUAAAACCAGGGGAGGAAGAAGCAGCUGAUGAAUUUGAGGCUCAUGGUGAUGCUUGUCCAGAGACCAUCCCUCUCAUCCCUCCCAAUCAAACAACCUUAGGGGCCUUUAUUUCCCUUUUGUUGCACCGACCUCAGCUGGAGCAAAUGGCCUUAGGUGGUAUGAUAACAUCCAAAUUUAAAAAGUUACGGGAAUCUGGUCAGUCGAGCCAGAGAGGUCGGAAGAGGAAAUUAUUGAAAAACUUCAGGGACUUGUGCCCAGGGACAAGCAGGGGACUGGCCAGUGAUUGGUCGGAUAUUGACAGCCCUGAUGAAGUAGAAAGUUCAGAAACAAGAACAGCGCAACAGAAAGUUCACAUUACAUCUGUGGCAAAAUUGGUGGAAACCCCAUUCCCAAAAGUAUGAGUGAAUCUGCUGCAGAGGCUGCAAAAGCAAGUACAGUGGAUACAGUGGUGUCAAAAGAGACAGAAAGGGAGGAAGCAGCUGGACGUCAACAUGCUGAUGAGUUGCUCUUCCACAGGAUGCUGUCAUUGUUCUACUGGCCUACCUUAAUGAGCAAGUGCAGGUGAUUAUG